CUCACUCCGCCAGGAACGCGGUUACUCAAGACUAGAGUGGAGAUUUGGGAAACACACAUUUUCCCUGGACGUCGACAAAGUCAGUCUCACUACCUCACAAAGAAGAUGCUUUCUUGUGUACAACUGCUGCUUUGAAAACACAUCGAUAGAAUGAGUAAAGAAAGUCCAAGGAUAGAAAUGGACCUGGCUUUUGGCUUUUCAGGCAAGGCGUAUGGCUCCUCAAGGAGUAUUGUGAGAAGAAUAGCCACCAAUCUUCCCCUUAAACCAUGCCCCAGGGUCCAUUUUCAGGUAAAACUGUUUCUGCGACAGAGGUGGCAGGCAUACAACAUGUCUGCCCCCAUACUUUGACAGAGUAUGAUCUGUGUGGGACAUUGUUUCCAUGUGACUUUGUUUCCGUGUCUGUCACUGUUUCUGUGUCACUGCUCUUUACCUUGUGCUCAAGUGUCACGUUAUCUUGGUGUGCUCAUGUCCUGAUGUAUUCUGAUCUAAUGGUCAAGUCACCCUCAUCAAGAGUGUUUGCCAGCUUGUUCAUUUGUUUUGAUGCUUCAACACUAAACAGAAUAGAAAACGUCAUGAGACUGAUAACAUGGACCUAGGUGCUGAUUUAAUGUUUAGGGAAGUUAGGCUAUGUUGCUCCUCAUUGGUAAUAAAAUAUCGAGGUGCCUUUUUAAUGUUUCGAUUUGAAGUCUGRUCCAAUUAGUAUUUUUUUGCAUUAGAAAGUUCCAGUUACACAGAACACAACAGUUAAUUUAGAUAGCCAUGUUAUCAUUGCCCUGCUCAGUCUUUACAUUCGUCUUUCCUGUCAUUACUGUUUUCUCUUUUUUUCCUCUCUCCCUCCCUUUAGCUGUCCUUCCUUUCUGUGAGGAAUGCAGUAUGUCUGUUUUAGGUCAGUUCAUCAGACAACCUACAACAGUAACUUUGUACUGUUGACUAAUGUCCCCCCCAUUUGCUGCUAUAACAGCCUCCACUCUUCUGGGAAGGUUUUCCACUAGAUGUUGGAACAUUGCUGCAG
This is a long non-coding RNA of Salvelinus sp. IW2-2015, 1012 nucleotides long. RefSeq lists it as uncharacterized. The record is from RefSeq and is a predicted model, not a curated record. Lineage: Eukaryota; Metazoa; Chordata; Actinopteri; Salmoniformes; Salmonidae.